CUGAUACUGGGGCUUGGUAACUGUUACCUGAGCUGAAUGCUGAACUGUAGUAGUCAGCUGUUCUCUUGCUGCCUUCAAGUCCCAUCCUUCCUACAAUAAUGUUCUAGAAAUUCUUCUCAGAUGGUCAAGUUUAGGGUGAAUUUCCAAUUAAUUCCUGUGCUUUUGUUCUGCAUUUGGGUUCUCCCUAUGGAAACCCUGUUCUCAUUCCCUGUUUUGCCUUCCCUUACUUCCCUGAUACUUGAUUUAAAACAAAAAAACCCACCACCUCAUAAAAAAGGUUUUUUUCCCUUUCCUGGGAUGUUUCUGCUACUCUGAUUCAGUUUAUGGCUAUUUGCUGCUAUCUUUUCACCCCGUUCUCUAGCCUUUUCCUCCUCUUCAUGUUGCCAUUAAGGAACGGACCCUAUUCCCUGCAAAAGAGAAAGAUAACAGCCUCACUCAGACUUUUCCGUGUAUCACACUCAUCCCUAGCUUGCAGCCCCAUGGGAUGGCAUGAGUAUCUGCUCUCCUUCCCUGAUGCUCCCUGCUCUCCAUUGUUCCAAGAAGGAGGAGUUCAGGAGCUGGGAAAGUUCACAAGUGCCAGCUGUUUUUACUAUAGCACAGUGUGAUGGACUGUACCAGACCCUUUGAGGCCCUCCAGAGGGCCUGGCAAUCUUACCACACCCCGUCCUAGAAAAAGACAGAGUGGAGUCCUCCAAGUGACCUAGAGUGGCUGCCUCCCCUGCAGCCUAUCAGGGCCCAGCAGGCUAGUAUAAAAAGAGCUGCAGGGCCAGAACAAGUUUAGUUCCUUGCUGGAGCUGGAGGAACAUGGAAGGGGUGCCUGGCUGGCUGAAGGAGCUACAGGACCUCAGACAGAGCAGUGCUGGCAGAGACUGUUAGGAGCGAGAAUGCACUCCGGGCUGGCUGCUGGGAUUCAACCAGGACAAGGCCCUGAGGUAGGGCCAGAUCUAUGGAAUUAACCCUUCAAAGACAAGAAAAAAUUCAGAUGCUAACAAAGUUUCAAUGAGACCAGAAGAGUAACCCUUUCAUUCUAGAAACCUCCUUUCAAAUGCCAAGCUGCUAAAUUUAACUUGCUUGGAUCUUUGUGAAGAACUAGCCACUGGGAUAAAAAACCUGGCAUUGGAUUUGGAACAAUAGUGGAUCCACUGACAUGCUCAUGAGUUUGGCAGACCUCCUUUCUGAUCUUCUGUAUUAUCCCGGUGGUGAUGAGCAUUGGAGGAAAAGCAUAAAAACUGCUCUUGGAACUGCUCUUGGAACUAGACUGAACAGAUUGCCUAGCCUUCUUUUUCAUUGGUGAUGUCCAUGAAGACAAGGAUGAACAUAAAUGUUAUGACGAAGCAGAACCAGACACAAACCCUUUUUUAAAAUGCUUUUUCUUUCCAAGUAUAAAAACCUGGUCAGCAGUGCUUUUAGCUCUGGCACCUGCUGGAGAGAAGACAGAGGAACUACUAUUCCCAGAAGAACAGGUGCUGGAUUCCACUGCCCUGCCAAUAGCUACAGGAUGCUGAAAACAGGGAGGGGCUCCAAAAUAUGGGAACUAGUCUCUCAUCAGCAGUCCAAUCAACUCUGAUUCUGCCCUUACCUCUACAGCCAGGUGACUACCCCACACUGAGGAUCUGUGGACCUGGCUCUGCCUUUUUGAAUAAGGCCUUUCUCUCGCAAAGGGCAGAUGAGUGCAGUAGGUUGUGAAGUUAUUCACCAACAUGAUCUCCACCCCCUCCAGAAGUGGAGGGUACUUGCUAUAGUGGGGGAAGAGGCCAGCCGGCUAUUGCCUAUAACGUGAAUGAAGAUUGAGCAAUUUCUCUGUAUGAAAUUCUGUUUUAUCUCCCCUGUAGAGAGAGAGAAAGCGGAAAAAAAAUCAAUAGGGUCCUGUGGUGUUUGAAUGGUAGAGUGCAUGUUACAGAACAUUUAUACCUCUGUGGAGAGCAGAACUUUGUGAACCUGCUCUGGGCACACAAUAUGCAUGUAUAUCUCAUGUGAACUACGACCACUGACCAAAUGUUUUUUCCCGUACUGCUUGUAAAGUUAUCUGAUUAAAAUAUGAUCAUACAGAUCAUUGUUCCAACCACUGUUAUAUAUUUGCAGCUAAUAUUGUACAAAGGUUGUCGAGUGAGGGGGUCUAUGAAAAGAUUAUGAUUUGCUGAUUAUGAUUAUGCUAUCUGUAUGCAUAUAUCAUUUUUGUAUUUGAAGUUAUAAGUAUUGGCUCUAUACUUGGAUUUCAAAUGUUUGCUCCUGGGGUAACGCCCCACGUUAGCUAGCCAGCAAAUCUUGGAGGGACUAUUCAAAUUAAGUGGCUCAUGGAGGGAAAUUGAGCAUGAACAUGUGAUUUGCCCAUGUAAAUCCAAACUCCAUCUUGUUGCUGUAAUUUUUCACAAUAAGAACAAUGGGAUGCCCGCCACAUGGCAAAAGCUAUAAAAGGCCCUGGGAACACCUCCCCUUUGUCUUCAAUCCUGCUUCUUAGCUUUGGAGAAACUUUGCUACACACUGAAGCUCUGAACAAUGGACUGAAUGGAUGUACUCCAGAGAUUUGACU
Molecule: long non-coding RNA, 2530 nt
Organism: Mauremys reevesii (Reeves's turtle)
Lineage: Eukaryota; Metazoa; Chordata; Testudines; Geoemydidae
Exons: 6
Source: RefSeq, a predicted model, not a curated record